Molecule: long non-coding RNA, 511 nt
Filed under: Homo sapiens (human)
Lineage: Eukaryota; Metazoa; Chordata; Mammalia; Primates; Hominidae
Description: non-protein coding lnc-TP53TG3-52:1
Source: RNAcentral
CUAGAAAAGAGGCCGCUCAGGAUGGGAAGAAGAUUUCAACCCCUGCGUGUCCGACGCAGCUCCCAACGUCGCUGAGGCCUUCAGAAACCCAAAGUGGCAUCGCUAGGAAAACGACUGACAACCGGUCACACGACCCAGGCAGAGACCCAGAAAGAGGCUCACCAAAGACAGGCUGACAUACAAGAAACCACCCUCCAGCGCACAGGGCACAUUAGUCCCAAACACGCACACGAACACACACAAAGAAAGAGACAGAGAAACAGGAGAGAAAGAGAGACAUACACACACAGAGACAUACAGCAGUGGCACAGAAACACCCACCUCCAGGCAGCCCCAGAGGCUGCCGGGUUCUGCUCUCGGCAAGAAUGACCCUCGGGUAAGAGAGCAGCCCACAGGCCCACAGUCAGGCCUGUCCUCGAGAUCACAGGCGGCACGACUUGUGGUGAGACUCUCCCACACACCAUCUGGGGCAGGCCUGAGGCUUGGAUGGCGCGCUGCUUCCCCGGGACCC